RNAcentral lists this long non-coding RNA (305 nucleotides) under Setaria viridis. Its description in RNAcentral is "long non-coding RNA (SVIR_LNC005108)". The record is from RNAcentral. Lineage: Eukaryota; Viridiplantae; Streptophyta; Magnoliopsida; Poales; Poaceae.
GUCGAGGCGCAGAAGAAGACGUGGUGCGUGGCCAAGCCCUCCGCCUCCAACGACAUCCUGUCUCUGAACCUCAACUACGCGUGCUCUCAGGUGAGCUGCGCCGUCAUCCAGAAGGGCGGGCCCUGCUACUACCCGGACAACCUCGUGUCGCGCGCUGCCGUCGCCAUGAACCUCUACUACGCCGCCAAUGGCAGGCACCCCUGGAACUGCUACUUCAACAACUCGGCACUCGUCGUGCAGUCCGAUCCCAGCUAUGGAUCCUGCACCUACUACUGACCUGCUGCAUGGAAUGGAAUGGAAUGGAG